RNAcentral lists this unclassified non-coding RNA (433 nucleotides) under soil metagenome. Its description in RNAcentral is "partial contains 5.8S ribosomal RNA, internal transcribed spacer 2, and large subunit ribosomal RNA". The stretch from base 1 to 120 matches the Rfam family "5.8S ribosomal RNA", at positions 35 to 154 of the family's 154-position model. The record is from RNAcentral.
GAUGAAGAACGCAGCGAAAUGCGAUACGUAAUGUGAAUUGCAGAAUUCAGUGAAUCAUCGAAUCAUUGAACGCAUAUUGCGCUCUCUGGUAUUCCGGAGAGCAUGCUUGUUUGAGUAUCAGUAAACACCUCAACUUCCAUAUCUUUUUUUGAAAUGGGAGUUGGACUUGAGUGAUCCCAACGCUUUUCCUCACCGAAAAGUGGCGGGUUACUUGAAAUGCAGGUGCAGCUGGACUUUUCUCUGAGCUAUAAGCAUAUCUAUUUAGUCUGCCUAAAAAACAGAUUAUUACCUUUGCUGCAGCUAACAUAAAGGAGAUUAGUUCUUGUGCUGACUGAUGCAGGAUUCACAAAGACAGCUUCGGCCGACUUUGUAAACUCGAUCUCAAAUCAAGUAAGACUACCCGCUGAACUUAAGCAUAUCAAUAAGCGGAGGA